AGAGUUUGAUCCUGGCUCAGGACGAACGCUGGCGGCGCGCCUAACACAUGCAAGUCGAACGAGCGAGAGAGAGCUUGCUUUCUCGAGCGAGUGGCGAACGGGUGAGUAACGCGUGAGGAACCUGCCUCAAAGAGGGGGACAACAGUUGGAAACGACUGCUAAUACCGCAUAAGCCCACAGGUCGGCAUCGACCAGAGGGAAAAGGAGCAAUCCGCUUUGAGAUGGCCUCGCGUCCGAUUAGCUAGUUGGUGAGGUAACGGCCCACCAAGGCGACGAUCGGUAGCCGGACUGAGAGGUUGAACGGCCACAUUGGGACUGAGACACGGCCCAGACUCCUACGGGAGGCAGCAGUGGGGAAUAUUGCACAAUGGGGGAAACCCUGAUGCAGCGACGCCGCGUGGAGGAAGAAGGUCUUCGGAUUGUAAACUCCUGUUGUUGGGGAAGAUAAUGACGGUACCCAACAAGGAAGUGACGGCUAACUACGUGCCAGCAGCCGCGGUAAAACGUAGGUCACAAGCGUUGUCCGGAAUUACUGGGUGUAAAGGGAGCGCAGGCGGGAAGACAAGUUGGAAGUGAAAUCUAUGGGCUCAACCCAUAAACUGCUUUCAAAACUGUUUUUCUUGAGUAGUGCAGAGGUAGGCGGAAUUCCCGGUGUAGCGGUGGAAUGCGUAGAUAUCGGGAAGGAACCCAGUGGCGAAGGGAGCCUACUGGGCACAACUGAAGCUGAAGGUCGAAAAUGUGGGUAGCAAACAAGGAUUAAAUACCCGGGUAGUCCACCCCGUAAACGAUGACUCAUAGGUGUUGGAGGAAUUGACCCCUUCAGGGCCGCAGUUAACACAAUUAAAGUAAUCCCACCUGGGGAGUACGACCGCAAGGUUGAAACUCAAAGGAAUUGACGGGGGCCCGCACAAGCAGUGGAGCAUGUGGUUUAAUUCGAAGCAACGCGAAGAACCUUACCUGAUCUUGACAUCCCGAUGACCGCUUCGUAAUGGAAGCUUUUCUUCGGAACAUCGGUGACAGGUGGUGCAUGGUUGUCGUCAGCUCGUGUCGUGAGAUGUUGGGUUAAGUCCCGCAACGAGCGCAACCCCUAUCUUCAGUAGCCAGCAUUUGGGAUGGGCACUCUGGAGAGACUGCCAGGGAUAACCUGGAGGAAGGUGGGGAUGACGUCAAAUCAUCAUGCCCCUUAUGACCAGGGCUACACACGUGCUACAAUGGCGUAAACAAAGAGAAGCAAACCUGCGAGGGCAAGCAAAUCUCAAAAAUAACGUCUCAGUUCGGAUUGUAGUCUGCAACUCGACUACAUGAAGCUGGAAUCGCUAGUAAUCGCAGAUCAGAAUGCUGCGGUGAAUACGUUCCCGGGUCUUGCACUCACCACCCGUCA
RNAcentral lists this ribosomal RNA (1381 nucleotides) under uncultured bacterium. RNAcentral's name for it is "16S ribosomal RNA". It matches the Rfam family "Bacterial small subunit ribosomal RNA". The record is from RNAcentral.